AUUGAACGCUGGCGACAGGCCUAACACAUGCAAGUCGAACGAGUGGCGGACGGGUGAGUAAUGUCUGGGAAACUGCCUGAUGGAGGGGGUUAACUACUGGAAACGGUAGCUAAUACCGCAUACCAUCGGAUGUGCCCAGAUGGGGUUAGCUAGUAGGUGGGGUAAAGGCUCACCUCGGCGACGAUCCCUAGCUGGGCUGAGAGGAUGACCAGCCAGACUGGAACUGGGACACGGUCCAGACUCCUACGGGGGGCAUCAGUGGGGAAUAUUGCACAAUGGGCGCAAGCCUGAUGCAGCCAAGACGCGUGUAUGAAGAGGGCCGUCGGGUUGUAAAGUGCUUUAAGCGGGGAGGCGUUACCCGCAGAAGAAGCACCGGCUAACUCCGUGCCAGCAGCCGCGGUAAUAC
Molecule: ribosomal RNA, 406 nt
Filed under: uncultured bacterium
Lineage: Bacteria
Description: partial 16S ribosomal RNA
Rfam family: Bacterial small subunit ribosomal RNA
Source: RNAcentral